CUCAAAUUCUGUCAUUCUAGUCAGAAGGCUGGUAACUCUGGUCCUAUCCUGAGAGUUUUCAAAUGAGAUAUAAAGAAGAAAAGCAGUCUUUUUCACAAUGAAGAGAUGAGACAUCAAAAGUCAGGUUCUUCAGAACAGAAGGUUGCCGUGUCUAGUAAGAGAAAGCUGACUCAGAGGAGCAGAAAUGAGAGCUGGCUGGAGAGAGUUUAGUGAUGUCUCUGUUCCUGUGAUCCUGGAAGUCCAGCUGAAUCCACGCCCUUCCUGAGAUUUUCCUGCUCAGAUCACUUACUCUCAGGGAAGUCAGAAAUCAUGUCAUUUCAUGAGGACGCUUAAGCAACCCUAAGGACACAUUCAUGGACCUUAUUUCCUUGACCAGAGAUUGAACCCAUAAUCACUGCGGUAGAAGCACAGAAUCCU
Bos taurus (domestic cattle) is the source of this 417-nucleotide long non-coding RNA. NCBI's taxonomy places the organism in Eukaryota, Metazoa, Chordata, Mammalia, Artiodactyla, Bovidae. The record is from Ensembl.